GUUUUCUUUUGGGUUUUUUUUGUUGCUGUUUUCAAAUAGGUGGUUCACAGGUUUUCCAUUCCAAGUGUAAGCUUUAUCCCACAAAAGCUAAGUCUUAGCAGAGAUAUACACUAGUGUGGGUGAAAGUGUUAUUCGUGAAGUCUACACAUCUGAAAGACUAGGAGGUUACCAGAACUGGGUAAGAAGAAUGACACAGACAGUGUUCACCAUCAUAGGUUCAAAGGAUCCAUCA
RNAcentral lists this long non-coding RNA (232 nucleotides) under Coturnix japonica (Japanese quail). RNAcentral describes it as "lncRNA (ENSCJPG00005012398.1)". The record is from RNAcentral. Lineage: Eukaryota; Metazoa; Chordata; Aves; Galliformes; Phasianidae.